UUCGAACGAGUUCUGAUUAUUGAAAGGUGCUUGCAUCUUGAUUUAAUUUUGAACGAGUGGCGGACGGGUGAGUAACACGUGGGUAACCUGCCCUUAAGUGGGGGAUAACAUUUGGAAACAGAUGCUAAUACCGCAUAAAUCCAAGAACCGCAUGGUUCUUGGCUGAAAGAUGGCGUAAGCUAUCGCUUUUGGAUGGACCCGCGGCGUAUUAGCUAGUUGGUGAGGUAACGGCUCACCAAGGCAAUGAUACGUAGCCGAACUGAGAGGUUGAUCGGCCACAUUGGGACUGAGACACGGCCCAAACUCCUACGGGAGGCAGCAGUAGGGAAUCUUCCACAAUGGACGCAAGUCUGAUGGAGCAACGCCGCGUGAGUGAAGAAGGCUUUCGGGUCGUAAAACUCUGUUGUUGGAGAAGAAUGGUCGGCAGAGUAACUGUUGUCGGCGUGACGGUAUCCAACCAGAAAGCCACGGCUAACUACGUGCCAGCAGCCGCGGUAAUACGUAGGUGGCAAGCGUUAUCCGGAUUUAUUGGGCGUAAAGCGAGCGCAGGCGGUUUUUUAAGUCUGAUGUGAAAGCCCUCGGCUUAACCGAGGAAGUGCAUCGGAAACUGGGAAACUUGAGUGCAGAAGAGGACAGUGGAACUCCAUGUGUAGCGGUGAAAUGCGUAGAUAUAUGGAAGAACACCACUGGCGAAGGAAGCUGUCUGGUCUGUAACUGACGCUGACGCUAGGGAGCAUGGC
Molecule: ribosomal RNA, 740 nt
Filed under: Lacticaseibacillus rhamnosus
Lineage: Bacteria; Bacillati; Bacillota; Bacilli; Lactobacillales; Lactobacillaceae
Description: bacterial SSU rRNA
Rfam family: Bacterial small subunit ribosomal RNA
Source: RNAcentral